UACGUAGGGGCUAGCGUUAUCCGGAAUUACUGAGCGUAAAGGGUGCGUAGGUGGUUUCUUAAGUCAGAGGUGAAAGGCUACGGCUCAACCGUAGUAAGCCUUUGAAACUGGGAAACUUGAGUGCAGGAGAGGAGAGUGGAAUUCCUAGUGUAGCGGUGAAAUGCGUAGAUAUUAGGAGGAACACCAGUUGCGAAGGCGGCUCUCUGGACUGUAACUGACACUGAGGCACGAAAGCGUGGGGAGCAAACAGGAUUAGAUACCCUGGUAGUCCCUGA
RNAcentral lists this ribosomal RNA (275 nucleotides) under uncultured prokaryote. RNAcentral describes it as "partial 16S ribosomal RNA". It matches the Rfam family "Bacterial small subunit ribosomal RNA", at positions 524 to 800 of the family's 1533-position model. The record is from RNAcentral.